Molecule: long non-coding RNA, 557 nt
Organism: Nothobranchius furzeri (turquoise killifish)
Lineage: Eukaryota; Metazoa; Chordata; Actinopteri; Cyprinodontiformes; Nothobranchiidae
Source: RefSeq, a predicted model, not a curated record
AUUUGGAGGCGUUUCACAACCAUCUCCUAAUGUAUGUAAGCAAAAGAUUCAGUUACAUCCCACCUGUUUACGAGGCACGGAUACUGCUUGCUGCAUUGGACUACAAUCACCACUCACAUCGAGAAGUGAAGAGGAGAGCAGAUGGAUCGAUACAAUACCAUAAAAUAUUCAACAAAAAAUCAAGAUGCUGGAGGCUGUAUUCUUAAAAGGUGGCAAAAGACUACUCUACAUCCCAGAGAUCCAAACCAUGAUCGUCAACCAACGUUUGACAAGCAAGAAAGGUCUUCCUCGACGCUACAAGCUAAGGCCUGAGGAUCCAAGGCGUUACGGUUUGCUGUCCGGAGUCCCUGCACCAUCAACAGAGGAACUUCUACAACACCUACGGACUCAUGGUGAUGGUAAAACUUUGCCAAAGACAUAGGUGUUGGGGGAGGCAAGAGAAAACCCAAAACCUUCUUUAUUUUUGUUUCCUGUGUUUUUUUUUUGUUUGUUUGUUUUAAAAUAAAGAUAUAUUUUGGGGAAAUAAGGACUAAUAAUUUAAAAAUGUAUGUAAAAUG